Molecule: ribosomal RNA, 408 nt
Filed under: uncultured bacterium
Lineage: Bacteria
Description: partial 16S ribosomal RNA
Rfam family: Bacterial small subunit ribosomal RNA
Source: RNAcentral
GACGAACGCUGGCGGCGUGCUUAACACAUGCAAGUCGAACGAAGUGGCGAACGGGUGAGUAACGCGUACUCAACCUGCCCUUCAGAGGGGGACAACAGUUGGAAACGACUGCUAAUACCGCAUACUGAAGGAGGGGAUUGCGUCUGAUUAGCUAGUUGGAGGGGUAACGGCCCCACAAGGCGAUGAUCAGUAGACGGUCUGAGAGUAUGAAGGGCCAAAUUGGAAGUGAGAAACGGACCAGACUCCUACGGGAGGCAGAAGAGGGGAAUAGUCCGCAAUGGACGAAAGUCUGACGGAGAAACGCCGCGUGAGUGAUGACGGCCUUCGGGUUGUAAAGCUCUGUUAAUCGGGACGCGGUACCGGAAUAGAAAGCCACGGCUAACUACGUGCCAGCAGCCGCGGUAAUAC